RNAcentral lists this ribosomal RNA (1043 nucleotides) under Oryctolagus cuniculus (rabbit). RNAcentral describes it as "partial 16S ribosomal RNA". It matches the Rfam family "Bacterial large subunit ribosomal RNA", at positions 905 to 2593 of the family's 2925-position model. Lineage: Eukaryota; Metazoa; Chordata; Mammalia; Lagomorpha; Leporidae. The record is from RNAcentral.
GUCCAGAAUAGAAUUUUAGUUCAACUUUAAAUUUUCCUAAAGGACAUAAAACCCUAAUGAAAAUUUAAAUGUUACUCUAAAGAGGGACAGCUCUUUAGAUAUAGGAUACAGCCUUUUAUAAAGAGUAAGUUAUUUUUCAAUCCAUAGUUGGCUUAAAAGCAGCCAUCAAUUAAGAAAGCGUUAAAGCUCAACAACUAAAAACCAACUUAAUAAGAAUAUUUUAAAACGAACUCUUAUAAACCCUAACUGGACUAAUCUAUAAAUCUAUAGAAGAAAUAAUGCUAAUAUAAGUAACAAGAAUACUAUUCUCCUUGCACAAGCUUAUAUCAGAUCGGAUGCCCACUGAUAGUUAACAGCCCCAAUAGAAAUAAUCCACAAAUUAAUAAUCUAUUAACUUUCACUGUUAACCCAACACAGGAGUGCUAUAUAGGAAAGAUUAAAAGAAGAAAAAGGAACUCGGCAAACCCUAACCCCGCCUGUUUACCAAAAACAUCACCUCUAGCAUUACUAGUAUUAGAGGCACUGCCUGCCCAGUGACGUACGUUCAACGGCCGCGGUAUCCUGACCGUGCAAAGGUAGCAUAAUCACUUGUUCCUUAAUUGGGGACUAGCAUGAAUGGCAACACGAGGGUUAAACUGUCUCUUUCUUCCAAUCAGUGAAAUUGACCUCCCCGUGAAGAGGCGGGGAUAAAAUAAUAAGACGAGAAGACCCUAUGGAGCUUUAAUUAUUUAACCCAACACUUCCUUUAUUCUACUCUACAAUGAGCCUAACCAAGGAAAUCCCUGGGUUAAAAAUUUUGGUUGGGGUGACCUCGGAGUAUAAAUCAACCUCCGAAUGAUUUUAGCCUAGACCCAACAAGUCAAAGCAAUUAUAAUCAUAAAUUGACCCAAAUAAUUUGAUCAACGGAACAAGUUACCCUAGGGAUAACAGCGCAAUCCUAUUUUAGAGUCCCUAUCGACAAUAGGGUUUACGACCUCGAUGUUGGAUCAGGACAUCCCAAUGGUGUAGCCGCUAUUAAAGGUUCGUUUGUUCAACGAUUAAAG